This 896-nucleotide ribosomal RNA is filed under the name uncultured Pseudomonas sp. RNAcentral describes it as "bacterial SSU rRNA". It matches the Rfam family "Bacterial small subunit ribosomal RNA", at positions 33 to 924 of the family's 1533-position model. The record is from RNAcentral. Lineage: Bacteria; Pseudomonadati; Pseudomonadota; Gammaproteobacteria; Pseudomonadales; Pseudomonadaceae.
UAGCUGGCGGCAGGCCUAACACAUGCAAGUCGAGCGGAUGAGUGGAGCUUGCUCCAUGAUUCAGCGGCGGACGGGUGAGUAAUGCCUAGGAAUCUGCCUGGUAGUGGGGGAUAACGUUUCGAAAGGAACGCUAAUACCGCAUACGUCCUACGGGAGAAAGUGGGGGAUCUUCGGACCUCACGCUAUCAGAUGAGCCUAGGUCGGAUUAGCUAGUUGGUGGGGUAAUGGCCCACCAAGGCGACGAUCCGUAACUGGUCUGAGAGGAUGAUCAGUCACACUGGAACUGAGACACGGUCCAGACUCCUACGGGAGGCAGCAGUGGGGAAUAUUGGACAAUGGGCGAAAGCCUGAUCCAGCCAUGCCGCGUGUGUGAAGAAGGUCUUCGGAUUGUAAAGCACUUUAAGUUGGGAGGAAGGGCAGUAAGUUAAUACCUUGCUGUUUUGACGUUACCAACAGAAUAAGCACCGGCUAACUUCGUGCCAGCAGCCGCGGUAAUACGAAGGGUGCAAGCGUUAAUCGGAAUUACUGGGCGUAAAGCGCGCGUAGGUGGUUCAGCAAGUUGGAUGUGAAAGCCCCGGGCUCAACCUGGGAAUUGCAUCCAAAACUACUGAGCUAGAGUACGGUAGAGGGUGGUGGAAUUUCCUGUGUAGCGGUGAAAUGCGUAGAUAUAGGAAGGAACACCAGUGGCGAAGGCGACCACCUGGACUGAUACUGACACUGAGGUGCGAAAGCGUGGGGAGCAAACAGGAUUAGAUACCCUGGUAGUCCACGCCGUAAACGAUGUCGACUAGCCGUUGGGAUCCUUGAGAUCUUAGUGGCGCAGCUAACGCGAUAAGUCGACCGCCUGGGGAGUACGGCCGCAAGGUUAAAACUCAAAUGAAUUGACGGAAGGGCGA